RNAcentral lists this ribosomal RNA (42 nucleotides) under Beauveria bassiana. Its description in RNAcentral is "partial small subunit ribosomal RNA". Lineage: Eukaryota; Fungi; Ascomycota; Sordariomycetes; Hypocreales; Cordycipitaceae. The record is from RNAcentral.
AAUAUAGUUGAGUUUGUGAUGCUCUGAUUGAACACUGUCAAG